UCAGUGGCCGAGUGGAUAACGCGAUGGCAUGUGAAGCGAAAGGUACUGGGUUUGAGUCCCAGAGUGA
RNAcentral lists this transfer RNA (67 nucleotides) under Schistosoma mansoni. Lineage: Eukaryota; Metazoa; Platyhelminthes; Trematoda; Strigeidida; Schistosomatidae. The record is from RNAcentral.